CCCUUAGAUGUUCUGGGCGGCCCGCGCACUACAAUGGCGUGUGCAGCGAGUGCCGAAGUAGAGUUUUCCGAGGUAUUCUUGCAAUGCUCGUUUUGAUGGGGAUCGACCCUUGCAACUGUUGGUUUUGAACGAGGAAUUCCUUGUAAGCAUGGUUUAUCAUCCGACGCUGAAUGCGUCCCUGCCCUUUGUACACACCGCCCGUCGCUCCUACCGAUGAGUCGUCCGGUGAAGUUCGUAGACCUCGUGAUCGCGGAUCACUGGGGGAAGCAAAAUGAACCUCGCGGUUUAGAGGAAGGAGAAGUCGUAACA
RNAcentral lists this ribosomal RNA (309 nucleotides) under uncultured eukaryote. RNAcentral's name for it is "partial 18S ribosomal RNA". It matches the Rfam family "Eukaryotic small subunit ribosomal RNA", at positions 1470 to 1796 of the family's 1831-position model. The record is from RNAcentral.